AUUGAACGCUGGCGGCAGGCCUAACACAUGCAAGUCGAACGAGUGGCGGACGGGUGAGUAAUGUCUGGGACACUGCCUGAUGGAGGGGGAUAACUACUGGAAACGGUAGCUAAUACCGCAUAACAUCAGAUGUUCCCAGAGGGGAUUAGCUAGUUGGUGGGGUAACGGCUACACAAGUCGACGAGCCCUAGCUGGUCUGAGAGGAUGACAGGCCACACUGGAAUGGAGACACGGUCCAGACUCCGACGGGAGGCAGCAGUGGGGAAUAUUGCACAAUGGGCGCAAGCCUGAUGCAGCCAUGCUGCGUGUAUGAAUAAGGCCUUCGGGUUGUAAAGUACUUUCAGCGGGGAGGCGUUACCCGCAGAAGAAGCACCGGCGAACUCCGUGCCAGCAGCCGCGGUAAUUC
RNAcentral lists this ribosomal RNA (406 nucleotides) under uncultured bacterium. Its description in RNAcentral is "partial 16S ribosomal RNA". It matches the Rfam family "Bacterial small subunit ribosomal RNA", at positions 30 to 526 of the family's 1533-position model. The record is from RNAcentral.